RNAcentral lists this ribosomal RNA (309 nucleotides) under Triticum aestivum (bread wheat). Its description in RNAcentral is "partial small subunit ribosomal RNA". Lineage: Eukaryota; Viridiplantae; Streptophyta; Magnoliopsida; Poales; Poaceae. The record is from RNAcentral.
AUGUGGAUAGCCUUAUGGUUGGCGGCGAUGACAGCGAGCGACGACGGUGUUGUCAGCAACGACAACAACGUUUAUAUAUAUCAUAAUUUUCAUUGCAAAUUUUUUCUGCAACAUCGUUUGGGUUGCAAAAUUUUCUUUUGCAACAACAUCCGUUUUCCAUAUUUUUCUUCAACAUCAUCUAUGUUGCAUGUUGCGAAAGUUCAUUCCACCACAACACCCAUGUUGCAUGAAAGUGAAGACUUUUUUUUGCAACAUCAUCUAUGUUGCAAAAGUUCAUUCCGCAACAACACCCAUGUUGCACAAAAGUGA